CUCUCAGUCCACUUUCGCUUACGAUGGGGCGACUCUUGUCCAUCGUCACCUCACCGGGAAACUUUUCCUGCCGGGCCAGUUAAUGGUCCCCUGUACCAUCCCCAUCCUGAGUGACUACUAAGCAGCCGCAGCGACUCGGGGUUGCUCCGUGACCACGUUACUCAGUUAACCUUCUUGUUCCCUGGAGAGGCGGAGCUGAAUGGCCCGGACGGGGUUUCUCCAUGUUUCCCAGGCUGGUCUCAAACUCCUGGACUCAAGCAAUCUGCCCACCUUGCCUCCCAAAAUGCUCCUCCAAAAAAGGAGUGUGCCGCCACACCCAGCCUGAGCAACUUUUGUUUUUAAGUAUAAACUGAGAGAGAAGACUGCCCAAGUUCUGGCCUAUAGACAGAAGACUUCUAACAGAAAAGAAGAAAGCUGAAAACACACUGAGGAUUAUGGGAGAGGGGCAAGUGCAUGAAGCUUCUCAAUGACAUACAGACACUCUAAAAGCUCAAGAGAUCAAUUAUUCAACUUCAAGAACUGAAAUUUGAACACAGAUUUUGAGCUUCCAAAUCAGGAGAAAAAGAAGUGUUCUAUAAGAAGUUUGGACAAGACUCUGCAAGAAGUUAAGAGGUCCUUAAAGGCAACUGUGAAUUAACGGAGACUAGUUUUGAGAAAAUCAGUCCUGAUUUGUUUCUCCUGGAGUUUUCUUCUUUAUGUGAUCCUUCAUAAAAGCUGCUAAUAUGGGAAAGAUUGAAAUCAGCAAGUUUCUGGCUGUAAGCUAAAAGAGGCUCUUGAAUCAUAUUUCCGCCUGCUUAGCAAAUUUCUCUUGCGACAAUUGGAUGUUAUUUGGGGUUCCAUACUAGCAGGAAGAAGUACAAGCAAAGCUAAGUCAUUUUGAGAAUAAAUAUUAUCUCUCUAUAUA
This 904-nucleotide long non-coding RNA is filed under the name Homo sapiens (human). RNAcentral's name for it is "long intergenic non-protein coding RNA 1473". The record is from RNAcentral. Lineage: Eukaryota; Metazoa; Chordata; Mammalia; Primates; Hominidae.